CCUGAUCAGGGAUGAUACCUUUUUUUAUGGUGACUGCUGGAUGACACUUGCGGAUAUGGGACUGAGAUCUGAA
RNAcentral lists this small nucleolar RNA (73 nucleotides) under Astyanax mexicanus (Mexican tetra). RNAcentral's name for it is "Small nucleolar RNA SNORD99 (ENSAMXG00005006030.1)". It matches the Rfam family "Small nucleolar RNA SNORD99". From Rfam's summary of the family: The members of this family belong to the C/D class of snoRNAs which contain the C (UGAUGA) and D (CUGA) box motifs. Most of the members of the box C/D family function in directing site-specific 2'-O-methylation of substrate RNAs. The record is from RNAcentral. Lineage: Eukaryota; Metazoa; Chordata; Actinopteri; Characiformes; Acestrorhamphidae.